GUUUAGCACAUUGGGUCCACCUCCAGGGCACAGGCUGUAGCUCAUUCUGACCACUGCUCCUCUCCUGGGAAUCACUUUUAAGGUUUUGGUUAUUUAUUUUUUUUUAAAAGUUUUUUUUUUGGGGGGGGCACCUUUACUUUCAAGUUUAAGCACCACAAAAGGGCCCCAAAGAAGGAUGUAAAGAACCCAGCGGCGGCAGCAGCAGCACCAGCACCUGCGCCAGCACCCGCACCAGCACCCGCACCAGCUAAACCCAAAGAACCCGCAAUCGAUCUCAAGAGCAUCAAGAUCGAGUUCUCCAAGGAGCAACAGGAUGACUUCAAGGAGGCCUUCCUCCUUUUUGACAGGACUGGUGAUGCCAAGAUCACCCUGAGCCAGGUUGGUGAUAUCAUCCGGGCGCUGGGGCAGAACCCAACAAAUGCCGAGAUCAACAAAAUCCUGGGCAACCCCAGCAAAGAGGAGAUGAAUGCCAAGAAAAUUACUUUUGAAGAGUUCCUGCCCAUGUUGCAAGCAGCCGCUAACAACAAGGAACAGGGUACCUAUGAAGACUUUGUUGAAGGUCUGCGUGUCUUUGACAAGGAAGGCAAUGGCACAGUCAUGGGAGCUGAACUCCGUCAUGUACUGGCUACUCUGGGUGAGAAGAUGACAGAAGAGGAAGUAGAUGAACUCAUGAAAGGUCAGGAAGACUCCAACGGCUGCAUCAACUACGAGGCAUUUGUAAAGCACAUCUUGUCUGUUUAAGUGGACUUCCCAGACACCAAAUGAACAAGUCAAGUUCAGAAAGACCAGACGGCACUCGAGAUUUGCCUGAAAUUCUUGCUCAGUCUGUCAUCAUCAACAUGGAAACUGCAUAGACCUGUAUGAUGUGCCUCCAACCCCACCAUUUUUACCAGCGCAUCCAGGGUAUCACCUCCAGGUCACUACACUUUCAUUUAAAAACCUGAACUUUCACCAAGGCAAGCUAGAUGGAAUAAACUGCUACCAUCCAGGAUCCAUCUAUCCCAACCAUCUCUUUCCAUGUUGUUUGCAUUGAAACAGUGUAAUUUCUUGGGAAAAUAAAGCAUCAAUAAAUCCCUGUGGUCA
Molecule: non-coding RNA, 1083 nt
Organism: Balearica regulorum gibbericeps (East African grey crowned-crane)
Lineage: Eukaryota; Metazoa; Chordata; Aves; Gruiformes; Gruidae
Source: RefSeq, a predicted model, not a curated record